Molecule: ribosomal RNA, 253 nt
Filed under: uncultured bacterium
Lineage: Bacteria
Description: partial 16S ribosomal RNA
Rfam family: Bacterial small subunit ribosomal RNA
Source: RNAcentral
UACGUAGGGGGCGAGCGUUGUCCGGAAUUAUUGGGCGUAAAGCGCACGCAGGCGGUUCGCUAAGUUCGAGGUGACAAUCACCGGCUUAACCGGUGAACGAUUUCGAAAACUGGCGGACUUGAGAGCGAGAGAGGGACAUGGAACUCCGGGUGGAGCGGUGAAAUGCGUAGAGAUCCGGAAGAACACCAAUGGCGAAGGCAGUGUCCUGGCUCGUAUCUGACGCUGAGGUGCGAAAGCUAGGGGAGCGAACGGG